Molecule: ribosomal RNA, 369 nt
Filed under: uncultured bacterium
Lineage: Bacteria
Description: bacterial SSU rRNA
Rfam family: Bacterial small subunit ribosomal RNA
Source: RNAcentral
UACGUAGGUGGCGAGCGUUAUCCGGAUUUAUUGGGUUUAAAGGGUGCGUAGGCGGCUGAUUAAGUCAGCGGUGAAAGGUAGCAGCUUAACUGUUUUACAUGCCGUUGAUACUGGUUAGCUUGAGUUAACAGAAGGCAGAUAGAAUUUCUGGUGUAGCGGUGAAAUGCUUAGAUACCAGGAGGAAUACCGAUUGCGAAGGCAGUCUGCUGCAGUUACACUGACGCUGAGGCACGAAAGUGCGGGGAUCAAACAGGAUUAGAUACCCUGGUAGUCCGCACAGUAAACGAUGAUUACUAGUUGUUGGCGCAAGUCAGUGACCAAGGGAAACCGAUAAGUAAUCCACCUGGGGAGUACGCCGGCAACGGUGAA